Haliotis rubra (blacklip abalone) is the source of this 161-nucleotide long non-coding RNA. RefSeq lists it as uncharacterized. The record is from RefSeq and is a predicted model, not a curated record. Lineage: Eukaryota; Metazoa; Mollusca; Gastropoda; Lepetellida; Haliotidae. The transcript is spliced from 3 exons.
CUAAAGCCUGAUGGUUCCUGUCCCAAGGAGUUUCCUGCUUAUAUUCAGAGGGAUUAUAGUGCAAUUCUCUACUUAAACCAUGAGUUUGAGGGUGGUGAGUUUUUCUUUGCUCACAAGAAUAAAUCUGCACAGGUGAAUGUCAGUCCCAAGUGUGGAAGCGG